Molecule: long non-coding RNA, 552 nt
Filed under: Marmota monax (woodchuck)
Lineage: Eukaryota; Metazoa; Chordata; Mammalia; Rodentia; Sciuridae
Source: RNAcentral
UGGCAACAGUAGCUAUCUUCCAUCUGAGACUCUUUUUCAUUGUUUCACUGCGUGAACUUGUUUAAUCCCUGCAGCAGGUUCCAUUGCCCUUCUCCUCUGCAGACGGGCCCAUCAGGCAGCUCACCCAAAGUUAAGUAGCCAGUCAGUUGUAGAACCAGGACUGGAGGCCAUGCAAGACUCUGGAACCCACGUUUUGAACCACUCUCCAUACUGCUUCUGUUUCUUAAGCAUCUACUAUGCUCUGUCCCAAACAGACACUUGCCCAACAAAAUCCUUACUUCAAGGCAGGUGCCAUCAUGACACCGAAGGGGAGACAAAGCCCAGAGAGUUAAGGAUUUGCUCUGUGUCUUUCCUUGGGCCACUCAGCGUAUGUUUACUGAGAGCUUCGUCUGUACCAGGCCUUUCUUAGACUGGUGCUGCCAGCCGUCGAGGUGAUCAUCAGAAGACAAAUGCGGCUCUGGUUCUGAUGUGUGUAUUUGGGGAAGAGACACACAAGAAAAAAAGAAAAUAUCAGAUGUUGUCAGAAUCAAAAUAAGAUGGUAUCAUGGGGAC